RNAcentral lists this transfer RNA (55 nucleotides) under Ephemeropsis trentepohlioides. RNAcentral describes it as "partial tRNA-Leu". RNAcentral also lists the same sequence under 1 other name. The record is from RNAcentral. Lineage: Eukaryota; Viridiplantae; Streptophyta; Bryopsida; Hookeriales; Daltoniaceae.
GACUUAAAAUCCGUUGGCUUUAUUGACCAUGAGGGUUCAAGUCCCUCUACCCCCA